GAUGAACGCUGGCGGCGUGCCUAAUACAUGCAAGUCGAGCGAACGGACGAGAAUCUUGCUUCUCUGAUGUUAGCGGCGGACGGGUGAUUAACACGUGUAUAACCUACCUAUAAGACUGGGAUAACUUCGGGAAACCUGAGCUAAUACCGGAUAAUAUUUUGAACCGCAUGGUUCAAAAGUGAAAGACGGUCUUGCUGUCACUUAUAGAUGGAUCCGCGCUGCAUUAGCUAGUUGGUAAGGUAACGGCUUACCAAGGCAACGAUGCAUAGCCGACCUGAGAGGGUGAUCGGCCACACUGGAACUGAGACACGGUCCAGACUCCUACGGGAGGCAGCAGUAGGGAAUAUUCCGCAAUGGGCGAAAGCCUGACGGAGCAACGCCGCGUGAGUGAUGAAGGUCUUCGGAUCGUAAAACUCUGUUAUUAGGGAAGAACAUAUGUGUAAGUAACUGUGCACAUCUUGACGGUACCUAAUCAGAAAGCCACGGCUAACUACGUG
RNAcentral lists this ribosomal RNA (497 nucleotides) under uncultured bacterium. Its description in RNAcentral is "partial 16S ribosomal RNA". It matches the Rfam family "Bacterial small subunit ribosomal RNA", at positions 28 to 507 of the family's 1533-position model. The record is from RNAcentral.